This 310-nucleotide unclassified non-coding RNA is filed under the name plant metagenome. RNAcentral's name for it is "partial contains small subunit ribosomal RNA, internal transcribed spacer 1, and 5.8S ribosomal RNA". The record is from RNAcentral.
UUUCCGUAGGUGAACCUGCGGAAGGAUCAUUAGUGAAUAAACAAGUGCAGGUUGUGCUGGCCUUCUUGGUAUGUGCACGCCUGCCAGCUUCAUUCCAUCUUCCCACCUGUGCACUCUGUGUAGAUUCUGUAUGCUAUUGUCAAGCUUUUAUUGUGCUUGGUUGAGAAGAGUUGCUUGUUUCACCAACAAGCUCUACUUGGGCAUGCAGGUCUAUGUUUAUAUCAACACCAUAUGAAUGUUUUAGAAUGUGCUUUAGGCUUUUUGGCCUUUAAAUUAUAUACAACUUUCAACAACGGAUCUCUUGGCUCUC